This 460-nucleotide ribosomal RNA is filed under the name uncultured bacterium. RNAcentral describes it as "partial 16S ribosomal RNA". It matches the Rfam family "Bacterial small subunit ribosomal RNA", at positions 338 to 795 of the family's 1533-position model. The record is from RNAcentral.
CCUACGGGUGGCAGCAGUGAGGAAUAUUGGUCAAUGGACGCAAGUCUGAACCAGCCAUGCCGCGUGCAGGAAGACGGCUCUAGGAGUUGUAAACUGCUUUUGUACGAGGGUAAACGCAGAUACGCGUAUCUGUCUGAAAGUAUCGUACGAAUAAGGAUCGGCUAACUUCGUUCCAGCAGCCGCGGUAAUGCGGAGGAUUCAAGCGUUAUCCUGAUUGAUUGGGUUUAAAGGGUGCGUAGGCGGUCGGAUAAGUUAGAGGUGAAGUCCCGAGGCUCAACUUCGGAAUUGCCUUUGAUACUGGUCGGCUAGAGAGUAGUUGAGGUAGGCGGAAUGUAUGGUGUAGCGGUGAAAUGCUUAGAGAUCAUACAGAACACCGAUUGCGAAGGCAGCUUACUAAACUGCCACUGACACUGAUGCUCGAAAGUGUGGGUAUCAAACAGGAUUAGAUACCCGUGUAGUC